UACAGAGGGUGCAAGCGUUAAUCGGAAUUACUGGGCGUAAAGCGUGCGUAGACGGUUGUGUAAGUCAGAUGUGAAAGCCCCGGGCUCAACCUGGGAAUGGCAUUUGAGACUGCAUAGCUAGGAUGCGGAAGAGGGAAGUGGAAUUUCCGGUGUAGCGGUGAAAUGCGUAGAUAUCGGAAGGAACAUCAGUGGCGAAGGCGGCAUCCUGGACCGGUAUUGACGCUGAGGCGCGAAAGCCAGGGGAGCAAACGGG
Molecule: ribosomal RNA, 253 nt
Filed under: uncultured bacterium
Lineage: Bacteria
Description: partial 16S ribosomal RNA
Rfam family: Bacterial small subunit ribosomal RNA
Source: RNAcentral